GGAGUUGUGGCUCAGUGGAAGAGUGCGCACCUAGCAUGUGUGAGGUGCUGGGUUUGAUUCUCAGCACCA
This 69-nucleotide transfer RNA is filed under the name Ictidomys tridecemlineatus (thirteen-lined ground squirrel). Its description in RNAcentral is "Spermophilus tridecemlineatus (thirteen-lined ground squirrel) tRNA". It matches the Rfam family "tRNA". From Rfam's summary of the family: Transfer RNA (tRNA) molecules are approximately 80 nucleotides in length. The record is from Rfam by way of RNAcentral. Lineage: Eukaryota; Metazoa; Chordata; Mammalia; Rodentia; Sciuridae.